GAUGAACGCUGGCGGCGUGCUUAACACAUGCAAGUCGAACGGAAAGGCCCAAGCUUGCUUGGGUACUCGAGUGGCGAACGGGUGAGUAACACGUGGGUGAUCUGCCCUGCACUUCGGGAUAAGCCUGGGAAACUGGGUCUAAUACCGGAUAGGACGAUGGUUUGGAUGCCAUUGUGGAAAGUUUUUUCGGUGUGGGAUGAGCUCGCGGCAUAUCAGCUUGUUGGUGGGGUAAUGGCCUACCAAGGCGUCGACGGGUAGCCGGCCUGAGAGGGUGUACGGCCACAUUGGGACUGAGAUACGGCCCAGACUCCUACGGGAGGCAGCAGUGGGGAAUAUUGCACAAUGGGCGCAAGCCUGAUGCAGCGACGCCGCGUGGGGGAUGACGGCCUUCGGGUUGUAAACUCCUUUCGCUAGGGACGAAGCGUUUUUGUGACGGUACCUGGAGAAGAAGCACCGGCUAACUACGUG
Molecule: ribosomal RNA, 468 nt
Filed under: uncultured bacterium
Lineage: Bacteria
Description: partial 16S ribosomal RNA
Rfam family: Bacterial small subunit ribosomal RNA
Source: RNAcentral